GAUGAACGCUGGCGGCGUGCCUAAUACAUGCAAGUCGAGCGAACAGAUAAGGAGCUUGCUCCUUUGACGUUAGCGGCGGACGGGUGAGUAACACGUGGGUAACCUACCUAUAAGACUGGAAUAACUCCGGGAAACCGGGGCUAAUGCCGGAUAACAUUUAGAACCGCAUGGUUCUAAAGUGAAAGAUGGUUUUGCUAUCACUUAUAGAUGGACCCGCGCCGUAUUAGCUAGUUGGUAAGGUAACGGCUUACCAAGGCAACGAUACGUAGCCGACCUGAGAGGUUGAUCGGCCACACUGGAACUGAAACCCGGCCCAGACCCCUAGGGGGGGCAGCAGUAGGGAAUCUUCCGAAAGGGGCAAAAGCCUGACGGAGCACCGCCGGGUGGGUGAUGAAGGUUUUCGGUUCGUAAAACUCUUUUAUUGGGAAAAAAAAAAUGUGUAAGUAACUGGGCACGUUUUGACGGUACCAAAUCAAAAAGCCCCGGCUAACUACGU
This 496-nucleotide ribosomal RNA is filed under the name uncultured bacterium. Its description in RNAcentral is "partial 16S ribosomal RNA". It matches the Rfam family "Bacterial small subunit ribosomal RNA", at positions 28 to 506 of the family's 1533-position model. The record is from RNAcentral.